RNAcentral lists this ribosomal RNA (495 nucleotides) under uncultured bacterium. Its description in RNAcentral is "partial 16S ribosomal RNA". It matches the Rfam family "Bacterial small subunit ribosomal RNA", at positions 28 to 507 of the family's 1533-position model. The record is from RNAcentral.
GAUGAACGCUGGCGGCGUGCCUAAUACAUGCAAGUCGAGCGAACAGACGAGGAGCUUGCUCCUCUGACGUUAGCGGCGGACGGGUGAGUAACACGUGGAUAACCUACCUAUAAGACUGGGAUAACUUCGGGAAACCGGAGCUAAUACCGGAUAAUAUAUUGAACCGCAUGGUUCAAUAGUGAAAGACGGUUUUGCUGUCACUUAUAGAUGGAUCCGCGCCGCAUUAGCUAGUUGGUAAGGUAACGGCUUACCAAGGCAACGAUGCGUAGCCGACCUGAGAGGGUGAUCGGCCACACUGGAACUGAGACACGGUCCAGACUCCUACGGGAGGCAGCAGUAGGGAAUCUUCCGCAAUGGGAAAGCUUGACGGAGCAACGCCGCGUGAGUGAUGAAGGUCUUCGGAUCGUAAAACUCUGUUAUUAGGGAAGAACAAAUGUGUAAGUAACUAUGCACGUCUUGACGGUACCUAAUCAGAAAGCCACGGCUAACUACGUG